GCCUAGGAAUCUGCCUGGUAGUGGGGGACAACGUUUCGAAAGGAACGCUAAUACCGCAUACGUCCUACGGGAGAAAGCAGGGGACCUUCGGGCCUUGCGCUAUCAGAUGAGCCUAGGUCGGAUUAGCUAGUUGGUGAGGUAAUGGCUCACCAAGGCGACGAUCCGUAACUGGUCUGAGAGGAUGAUCAGUCACACUGGAACUGAGACACGGUCCAGACUCCUACGGGAGGCAGCAGUGGGGAAUAUUGGACAAUGGGCGAAAGCCUGAUCCAGCCAUGCCGCGUGUGUGAAGAAGGUCUUCGGAUUGUAAAGCACUUUAAGUUGGGAGGAAGGGUUGUAGAUUAAUACUCUGCAAUUUUGACGUUACCGACAGAAUAAGCACCGGCUAACUCUGUGCCAGCAGCC
RNAcentral lists this ribosomal RNA (405 nucleotides) under Pseudomonas koreensis. Its description in RNAcentral is "bacterial SSU rRNA". It matches the Rfam family "Bacterial small subunit ribosomal RNA", at positions 115 to 516 of the family's 1533-position model. The record is from RNAcentral. Lineage: Bacteria; Pseudomonadati; Pseudomonadota; Gammaproteobacteria; Pseudomonadales; Pseudomonadaceae.